This 231-nucleotide ribosomal RNA is filed under the name uncultured bacterium. RNAcentral describes it as "partial 16S ribosomal RNA". It matches the Rfam family "Bacterial small subunit ribosomal RNA", at positions 108 to 339 of the family's 1533-position model. The record is from RNAcentral.
GCGUAACGCGUAUAGAACCUACCUUUUACAGAGGGAUAGCCCAGAGAAAUUUGGAUUAAUACCUCAUAGUAUAAUUGAAUGGCAUCAUUUAAUUAUUAAAGAUUUAUCGGUGAAAGAUGAGCAUGCGUCCCAUUAGCUAGUUGGUAUGGUAACGGCAUACCAAGGCAACGAUGGGUAGGGGUCCUGAGAGGGAGAUCCCCCACACUGGUACUGAGACACGGACCAGACUCC